ACGAACGCUGGCGGCGUGCUUAACACAUGCAAGUCGAACGGAAAGGCCCUGCUUGCAGGGUACUCGAGUGGCGAACGGGUGAGUAACACGUGGGUGAUCUGCCCUGCACUUCGGGAUAAGCCUGGGAAACUGGAUCUAAUACCGGAUAGGAGCCAUUUUUAGUGUGAUGGUUGGAAAGUUUUUUCGGUGUAGGAUGAGCUCGCGGCCUAUCAGCUUGUUGGUGGGGUAAUGGCCUACCAAGGCGGCGACGGGUAGCCGGCCUGAGAGGGUGGACGGCCACAUUGGGACUGAGAUACGGCCCAGACUCCUACGGGAGGCAGCAGUGGGGAAUAUUGCACAAUGGGCGCAAGCCUGAUGCAGCGACGCCGCGUGGGGGAUGACGGCCUUCGGGUUGUAAACUCCUUUCGCUAGGGACGAAGCUUUUUGUGACGGUACCUAGAUAAGAAGCACCGGCUAACUACGUG
RNAcentral lists this ribosomal RNA (464 nucleotides) under uncultured bacterium. RNAcentral's name for it is "partial 16S ribosomal RNA". It matches the Rfam family "Bacterial small subunit ribosomal RNA", at positions 29 to 507 of the family's 1533-position model. The record is from RNAcentral.